UUUUUUUUUUUUUUUUUUUGAGACAGAGUUUUGCUCUUGUUGCCUAGGCUGGAGUGCAAUGGCACGAUCUCAGCUCACUGCAACCUCUCCCUCCUGGGUUCAGGUGAUUCUCCUGUCUCAGCCUCCUGAGUAGCUGGGAUUACAGGCACGUGCCACCACGCCUUGUUAGUUUUUUGUAGUUUUAGUAGAGACUGGGUUUUACUACGUUGGUCAGGCUGGCCUCGAACUCCUGACCUCAGGUGAUUUGCCCACCUUGGCCUCCCAAAGUGCUGGGAUUUACAGGCAUGAGCCACUGUGCCCAACCUAUCAUAACCAUUUUUAAGUAUACAAUUCAGUGGCAUUAAGUACAUUCGCAUUGUUGUGCUACCAUCAGUACCAUCCAUUUCCAGAACUCUUUUCAUCUUGCAAAACUGGAAGUCUUUACUUAUCAAACAAUAACUCCCAUUCCCCUCUCCUCCAAGCCCCUGGUAACUGCUUUAUUACUGUUUCUCUCUAGAAUUUCACUACUCUACAUGCCUCAUAUAGGCAGAAUCAUAUAUUUGUCCUUUUGUGACUGGCUUAUUUCACUUAGCACAAUGGCCUUAAGGUUCAUUCAUAUUGUAGCAUGGGUCAGAAUUCUUUCUUUUUUUUUAAGGCUGAAUAAUGUUCUGUUGCAUGUAUAUAUCACUUUCAUCUUAUUCAUUUAUCAGUCAAUAGACACUUGGAUUGUUUUCACCUUUUAGUUAUAGCAAAUAAUGCUGCUAUGAACAUGGGUGUACAAUUACCUCUUUGAGUCCCUGCUUUCAAUUCUUUUGGGUAUAUACACAGAAGUGGAAUUGCUGGAUCAUAUAGUAAUCCUGUUUUUAAUUUUUUGGGGAAGCCAUACUGUUUUCCAUAAUGGCUUCAUCAUUUUACAUCUCACCAACAGUGUACAAGGGUUCCAAUUUCUCCAUGUCCUUGUCAGCAUUUGUUAUUUUCUGUUUUUGUUGUAGCCAUCCUAAUAGGUGUGAUGUCUCAUCACUCUUAUUUAGCAUAG
Molecule: long non-coding RNA, 1015 nt
Filed under: Macaca fascicularis (crab-eating macaque)
Lineage: Eukaryota; Metazoa; Chordata; Mammalia; Primates; Cercopithecidae
Description: lncRNA (ENSMFAG00000056004.1)
Source: RNAcentral